CCCAGCGGUGAAAUCCCGCCCACCGCCACAAACAACCAAUGGCGUCAGCAGAUACGCUUGCGUUCGUCGUGUCAGCCAAUCAGCUGUCAGCCCGUAACACCCACAUACACAUAGGCAGUGCCAAGCAUUGUUGACAUGACUAAUCAGAGAAGCGCAGAGAGAACAGCCACGCCCCUUCCCACUGCGAUCAUUCAUAACAACUGAGAGCAAAGCGUUCUAUUAAAUCAUUUAUUUUAUUUAUUUAUUUUUAUUUAUUUUGCAUCUAGCUUUCCUGAAAUGUUACACAUAUUUAGGAAAACUUCACUUGCACAAAGCCAAGGCUAUAUUGAUUGUAUUGGUUUUUGUGCAAGUGACUUUUAGAAAAAAAUAUUUAUUUAAGUAGCUUAUGGCUUUUUAGGCAAAAAAAACAACAACUAUUAUUUAUUAAUUUAUUUAAUUGUGUGCAGUUAUUAAUUAAUUAUUUGUCCAGAUGACAGGAGCUUCCGGUGCAGAACAAAAGAACAGACCGAUGUACACAGAAAUUAAGGAGAUAAAAUGCAAUAUAACACAGUAGUAAAGAAAAACUGAUAAUAACAUUAAAAUAUAAUACAUCACAGUAACAAAAUAUAAAAGUUUAAACAAAUGUUUAUAAAUGAUGGGAAAUGAUGUCUCUGAGGUCAGGAAGAGUUCUGUUAUCAGUUAUUAUUAAUAUUUUCAUUGUAAUCUGGGUGUUGGACUGUAUUGUUCGGCUCAGUUCUGAUGUAGUGAAUGAGAGGACGUUCUGUCAGGCUUUGAGCUCAUGAUCAGGGUGUUUUCUUAUCUGAGCUGUGAUGAAUCAGGACAGCUCAUCAUCUUCAUCUUCAUCACAGGUGUGUCAGAGUGACUCAACACAUCCAACGCUCACUUCCUGCUUUUCCAAGCGCUGUAGUGUUCAGGAAUUUCUGAAGGUUUGCUGAAGUUAUUAAUCAUCAUCUGGGGUUCAUAUCUCUGGGAGUGUGAUGAUGUUGUGGGAGGAGCUUUGUGCUCCGGAGGAAUGUCGAGCAGUUGUGAAAUUCCCAGCCCUGUUCCUGAAGCAGAACAUUCCGAUACCAUGAUGCGUGUUGUUUUCUGAUUGCUGUACAGUAUCUGUGCAGGGCUCUCUUAUGUAAAGGUUACAGUAAUAUGAGCUACUCAGGGGUUAGUCAGUGUUUGUUAAACACAUUAGACACCGUACGGACCAGAAGUAAACACGUUUCCUCAUCCAUCACUCGAACCCAGCGCACAAAUAUACAGAUGUUGAAUCCCGGGUCUGUUCCUCUGCGCUGUGACUGAUGAGAGGAUUGUUCAGACGUGUGUUCGCUGGAAUGUGAGUGUGAUUCUGUGGAGGAGCUGGUGACGUCGGAGCAGGAUCCACUGUAUUCCCAUCGCAGGACUGAAAUAGCUCCUUCCUGCCACUGCGUCACUGUAUCCCAGCCCACAUCCGCCUCUUCAUCCUCAUCCUCCUCAUCCUCACACAGCGACUCUCAGCUCUCUGAAACACUAACAGAGCUUUACAUGUUAAAACCUCGUUCUGAUUAAUAAGCCUCUGAGAACCAGUGAGUGAAGAGUGAACGGAGCUGUGUGUGUUCAGGAAUCAUCUGAAGUGGAUCUUCUGAGGUCACAUGAUCAUCAGGAGUCUGCAGGAGAAACAGAAAACACAGUAAAUCAUCAGGAUUCUCACACGCAUGACGUUUAUAAGGAACAUUGUGCUUAUGUUUACGCUUAACUAAAAUAUCUGGCCACAAAUGAUGUAGAUCCUGUCAUAUAAGCGAAGUAAAAACUGUGAAAUAUUAUUAUUAUGUCUUCUUAAAGUAUAAUGUAUUUCUGUGAUGCUCCGCUGUAUUUCCAGCAUCAUUCCUCCAGUCUUCAGUGUCACAUGAUCAUCAUAUUAUUCUGAUUUCUGAAGAUUUACUGCUCAAGAAACAUUUCUGAUUAUUAUCAGUGUUGAAAACAUUAAUAUUUUUGUGAAAACUUUGAUGUAUUUUAUUUUUCAGGAUUCACAGAUGAAUAAAAAAGUUCAAAAGAA
Molecule: long non-coding RNA, 2023 nt
Organism: Carassius gibelio (silver crucian carp)
Lineage: Eukaryota; Metazoa; Chordata; Actinopteri; Cypriniformes; Cyprinidae
Exons: 2
Source: RefSeq, a predicted model, not a curated record